CACGCCGUAAACGAUGAGUGCUAGGUGUUGGGUGUCAAAGCUCAGUGCCGCAGCUAACGCAAUAAGCACUCCGCCUGGGGAGUACGAUGGCAACAUUGAAACUCAAAGGAAUUGACGGGGACCCGCACAAGCAGCGGAGCAUGUGGUUUAAUUCGAUGCAACGCGAAGAACCUUACCAAGGCUUGACAUCCCUCUGAAGUAUAUAGAGAUAUAUACGGCUUUUAGGAGACAGAGGAGACAGGUGG
RNAcentral lists this ribosomal RNA (245 nucleotides) under uncultured bacterium. RNAcentral's name for it is "partial 16S ribosomal RNA". It matches the Rfam family "Bacterial small subunit ribosomal RNA", at positions 796 to 1041 of the family's 1533-position model. The record is from RNAcentral.